This 431-nucleotide ribosomal RNA is filed under the name uncultured Pseudomonas sp. RNAcentral's name for it is "bacterial SSU rRNA". It matches the Rfam family "Bacterial small subunit ribosomal RNA", at positions 65 to 492 of the family's 1533-position model. Lineage: Bacteria; Pseudomonadati; Pseudomonadota; Gammaproteobacteria; Pseudomonadales; Pseudomonadaceae. The record is from RNAcentral.
AGCGGAUGACGGGAGCUUGCUCCUUGAUUCAGCGGCGGACGGGUGAGUAAUGCCUAGGAAUCUGCCUGGUAGUGGGGGACAACGUUUCGAAAGGAACGCUAAUACCGCAUACGUCCUACGGGAGAAAGCAGGGGACCUUCGGGCCUUGCGCUAUCAGAUGAGCCUAGGUCGGAUUAGCUUGUUGGUGAGGUAAUGGCUCACCAAGGCGACGAUCCGUAACUGGUCUGAGAGGAUGAUCAGUCACACUGGAACUGAGACACGGUCCAGACUCCUACGGGAGGCAGCAGUGGGGAAUAUUGGACAAUGGGCGAAAGCCUGAUCCAGCCAUGCCGCGUGUGUGAAGAAGGUCUUCGGAUUGUAAAGCACUUUAAGUUGGGAGGAAGGGUUGUAGAUUAAUACUCUGCAAUUUGACGUUACCGACAGAAUAAGCA